Long non-coding RNA from Cyprinus carpio (common carp), 599 nucleotides. The record is from Ensembl. Lineage: Eukaryota; Metazoa; Chordata; Actinopteri; Cypriniformes; Cyprinidae.
GUUACAGGCCACAUAUAUUGUGAUAUAGUGGCCUAAUUCACACUCAUUUUAAAUAAUUCACUUGCCUGCUGCUUAAGAAAUCAGUAACAAUGGAAGCUUAUGACCUGCUGUCUUGCUCUCCAUCAACACAAGUCAUGAAGAACAGCCCGGAGCUGAAGGGUGCUGAAGGUGUGGGGCUGAAGUCAAGGGAGAGACAAAUGUGUAGAAUUGCCUUUGAGGGGUAUGUCAGCAUAUGGAGGAAAAUUGCCACCACUAACCCAGAACUUCUGCUGGUAAACGAAUAUUCAGAUGAAUUCAUCAACUGUAGAGACAGAUGUGCAGUCUGGUCAAAUUGCAAUAAGACAGAUCAUCUUGUUCAAGCACAGCGCAACAUCCCUGUUCAGAAGCUUCUGAAGAGACACACCACAGCGAAACGCACGCGGGUGGAACGCAUGAGAAGGCUCUACAAAGCUGCAGACCCACUGACCCCCCAGACUCCUGCUGCUGCUCUGGGUCCAGAUGAGCAGGAACACUGGGAGCGAGAAAUGGACGAACUGCUGGAAUGGACUCACUCCCUUUCUUUCAAAGAACUAGAUGACCUACUUCAUGCACACAUUUAG